UUUGAAUUUUCGUAAGAGAGGGAGACUUCAAAAGAGUCCCUCUCUGCCCUAUCUAUCGAGAGUCGAGACUUCCGAGUCUAAUUUCAAUUCCUUUCUCCAUCCGACCCUUUCAUGGUUCUUCCAAAUUUACCCCAAAUUUCUCAAGCUUUCUGUUUACAGACACGUAUGUAAACGGACCCUCAAUCUUCUCCUUCCUCACUGCUCCCCAAUUUUCAAACCCUAUCAUGGAUUCCCUCCGUUCUACUUACAAAGACGAAGACGAUGAAGAAGAUGAGUCCGUUCGCCCUUCUGAGAUCGACCCUCCUGAGCUUGCUGAUCCACCAAUGGAUACUAACGUCAGCGGCUCCUCAACUGACCCCCAGGACGGUACCAGACAAGACCCACCUGAUGCCUCUGAAGAAAUAUCCGAAGAGGAACCCGCCUCCGAUGACACUGAGAAAUCGGCUAAAUUAGCGAAGUCACCUGGGAAUGACGACGAUGACGAAGACCCACCUUCGAAAAAGCAAAAGCAAUUAUCUUCGCUUAACCAACCGGUGGAGGAGGAUAAAUCGGCAUUACCCGGAUCGAAUUCUGCUAAAAACGACGGUUCCGCCGGUGGCAAUGCUGCUCCGGUGGCCACGGCUUUGAAUCCGAAGAAAUCAAAGAAGAAGAACAAUAAUGUUUGGGUUACGAAGUCGACCCGGAAAGGGAAAAAGAAGAACAAAGCUAAUAACAAUAACAAUGCUCCAACUGAGGACCCUGUGUUGAUCACUCCAGUUCCGAGGUUCCCUGACAAAGGAGAUGACAAUAACGAUAUGCAAAUAUGUUUGUCAAAGGUUUACAAAGCGGAGAAAGUUGAAUUGAGUGAUGAUAGAAUGAGUGCUGGUAGUACAAAAGGGUAUAGAAUGGUGAGAGCCACAAGAGGGGUGGAGGAAGGGGCGUGGUAUUUUGAAAUCAAGGUGGUGAGCUUGGGGGAGACCGGGCAUACUCGACUUGGAUGGUCGACGGAUAAAGGGGACUUGCAGGCUCCGGUGGGGUACGACGGGAACAGUUUUGGGUAUAGAGAUAUUGAUGGAAGUAAAGUGCAUAAGGCUUUAAGAGAGAAAUAUGGAGAGGAGGGAUAUAAGGAAGGUGAUGUUAUCGGUUUCUAUAUCAAUUUGCCUGAUGGGGCUCUGUAUGCGCCCAAGCCACCUCAUUUUGUUUGGUAUAAGGGACAGAGGUAUAUUUGUGCUCCUGAAGGGAAAGAGGAGCCGCCUAAAGUAGUUCCUGGGAGAAACCAUUUGGAAAAACAGUUUCAGAGACAGCAAAGAAAAGUGAUAUAAAAAUAGAAUGUCCAGAUCAAUAAGUUAAAACUCAAGAUAUUGUACUAAAUACAAGAUGCAUGCUGUUUCCACCUUAUUUGGAGACAUCGAAUGCCUGCAAUUGGUUGUAUUUGUAAGUGAUAAAACUGAAGCCGCAAUUCACUUAUUCCAAGAUGAAUAAACACUUCAAAGUGUAUCAGGCAGGGCACAAACAUAAAUGUCCCUGGUAGAGCAGUACAUUAUCUGUGAACAGGGAGAAAUCACCCUCUCGGGACAACUUUGUCUGCCGAAAUCAGGCUCGAGGCUAGGAUCGCCCUGUUGACCAUCUAUAAUGUUCUGUCUUAAGGUUGAACUUGUCAACUGUGCCAUUUGGGAAGUAAUUUCCCCUAUCACCACCGGAAGCGAAAUUUCUUUCUUCAAAAACGGAGUGUGCCAAGGGAUUGCUUUUACAGAUCUAAAUGGAGGCCGCUAUUAUCCUGCAGCCUCCAUGUACACUCUCCCUAAUCAACCAAAUUGUGUUGUCAAGUUCAACUUUG
Molecule: RNA transcript, 1816 nt
Organism: Cucumis sativus (cucumber)
Lineage: Eukaryota; Viridiplantae; Streptophyta; Magnoliopsida; Cucurbitales; Cucurbitaceae
Gene name: protein TRAUCO
Exons: 3
Source: RefSeq, a predicted model, not a curated record